This 253-nucleotide ribosomal RNA is filed under the name uncultured bacterium. RNAcentral's name for it is "partial 16S ribosomal RNA". It matches the Rfam family "Bacterial small subunit ribosomal RNA", at positions 524 to 776 of the family's 1533-position model. The record is from RNAcentral.
UACGUAGGGCGCAAGCGUUAAUCGGAAUUACUGGGCGUAAAGGGUGCGUAGGCGGUUCGUUAAGUCUGUUGUGAAAUCCCCGGGCUCAACCUGGGAAUGGCAAUGGAUACUGGCGGGCUAGAGUGUGUCAGAGGAUGGUGGAAUUCCCGGUGUAGCGGUGAAAUGCGUAGAGAUCGGGAGGAACAUCAGUGGCGAAGGCGACCAUCUGGGACAACACUGACGCUGAAGCACGAAAGCGUGGGGAGCAAACAGG